Molecule: ribosomal RNA, 492 nt
Filed under: uncultured bacterium
Lineage: Bacteria
Description: partial 16S ribosomal RNA
Rfam family: Bacterial small subunit ribosomal RNA
Source: RNAcentral
AGUGAACGCUGGCGGUAGGCCUAACACAUGCAAGUCGAACGGCAGCACAGUAAGAGCUUGCUCUUACGGGUGGCGAGUGGCGGACGGGUGAGGAAUACAUCGGAAUCUACUUUUUCGUGGGGGAUAACGUAGGGAAACUUACGCUAAUACCGCAUACGACCUACGGGUGAAAGCAGGGGAUCUUCGGACCUUGCGCGAAUGAAUGAGCCGAUGUCGGAUUAGCUAGUUGGCGGGGUAAAGGCCCACCAAGGCGACGAUCCGUAGCUGGUCUGAGAGGAUGAUCAGCCACACUGGAACUGAGACACGGUCCAGACUCCUACGGGAGGCAGCAGUGGGGAAUAUUGGACAAUGGGCGCAAGCCUGAUCCAGCCAUCCCGCGUGGGUGAAGAAGGCCUUCGGGUUGUAAAGCCCUUUUGUUGGGAAAGAAAAGCAGCAGGUUAAUACCCCGCUGUUCUGACGGUACCCAAAGAAUAAGCACCGGCUAACUUCGUG